This 195-nucleotide ribosomal RNA is filed under the name uncultured bacterium. RNAcentral's name for it is "partial 16S ribosomal RNA". It matches the Rfam family "Bacterial small subunit ribosomal RNA", at positions 338 to 525 of the family's 1533-position model. The record is from RNAcentral.
CCUACGGGAGGCAGCAGUGGGGAAUAUUGCACAAUGGGCGCAAGCCUGAUGCAGCCAUGCCGCGUGUAUGAAGAAGGCCUUCGGGUUGUAAAGUACUUUCAGCGAGGAGGAAGGCAUUAAGGUUAAUAACCUUGGCGAUUGACGUUACUCGCACAAGAAGCACCGGCUAACUCCGUGCCAGCAGCCGCGGUAAUA